Molecule: long non-coding RNA, 3985 nt
Filed under: Paramuricea clavata
Lineage: Eukaryota; Metazoa; Cnidaria; Anthozoa; Malacalcyonacea; Plexauridae
Source: RNAcentral
AGAAAUUUCCAACACGUGCCUUCGUUGCAUUUGGCUUGUUGAGUCAGGAUGUAAAGUGACUGUCGUUCCGUGCGGUGAUGAUGGCAAAUUUUGUGGCCCCUAUCAUAUUCAAUCUGAUUAUUGGGCUGAUGCCGGUCGUCCAGGAACUGGCUGGCGAGCUUGUGUGGACACGUUUUCGUGUGCUAAGAUUACUGUACGAGGUAUUAAUUAAACUAGGGCUUGAUUCGAUAGCUCGCCGAUUGUCAAUUUUGGGGCUGGUGUUGCCUGGGAAGAGUGCAAUCUGUUAACGUCUGUGUGUGAAAGAAAAUAAUUACAGUGGGGGGGGGGGCAAAAAUAUAAUCCCAAGUUAUCAAAUACAAAAUUCCGUGUAAAAUGCCCAAAACUCUUGUAUAGUCAAGGAAAUUCGAAAAAUUUGCAAAGAAAAUCGUCAAACCCCACAUGCACUUGAUCUUGCAUUUUCGACUAUUGUCUUACACAUUUCUUUUAAAUUAUAUUUAUUUUCCCCAUCUUUUUUGCCCAGCUUAUAAGUUUAUAAUUUGUCCAACUUUAAUUUACAUGACUGAAUGCUCUGAAUUGUAGAUACUUGGAAUACCCAAACAAUAAACGCGAUUUCUUCACAACUCCCACAAAUAACGUGCCUUAUUAUUUGCGUAUUUUUUUCUCACACAGCAGUUCAAAAUGAUCAGUUUAUUUAUUAAUAAUAUAAAUUUAAUUAUUGUGCAUUUAAAAAUUAUUUAAAGCAAAAGCAUUUUCUUUUUGGCACAACUAAAUAUUAGUAUUACGGAUUACGUAAACCAUCUCGGUUUUUAUUGGUUGCUGGCCUGCAGCUGAUAAUUCUUGAUAUCGUGUAAUCACACCUGCAGAUCAUAGUUUUUUGCCUGUACAGAUAACGUCAAUUUUACAAAAAGUUUUAUUACAUAAGCAAACGCGAUUAGUUUCUACAAAUGAAGAAAAAUAAAGCAAUGGCGAGGUUCGCAACAGUAACGGAACGUGACUUGCAAAAAUCUUUGGAAAAGAAAAAUGCAACAAAUACCAAAAAAGCGACAAAAUGAGUACUAAAAUUUUCAACACGUAUAUUCAGUGAGAGAGAAAAAACGACGUUGUUUCUCAACUAUUUAAAGGAAGUUAUGUACAAUUAUUUAAGGUCAUGCUUUUGUAAAACCGUUGAGUGUUCUAUGAAAGACCUAACCUUUUACUGUCAUUAAAAUGGUUUACAAAGAAUUGUCUCUGUAUGUCGUUAUAGUAUUCGUUGUUAUAUUAUUUCUUUUAUAUGCGUAAUAAAAUUAUAAUUAUUGAAAUCGGUUUUUGCGUGACAUUUAACAAUUAUUCACAGAAGGUGAGGUGAUUUAUCUGGGAUUAGUAUAAAUUUUGCAUAUCAAAUGAGCUUUCGCGCGUUCUGAUUGGCUAGCUGACCAGAAAAUCUGAGCCAUUAUUUACCACCUGGGUAGUAAAUAAUGCUUUUCAAAAAGAAUGAUUCGGCAAAUUUGGUUUCAAAUCGACAAAAUAUUUAAAAAAUUGUCCCCAGAAAACGAAAGAAGCACAAAAUGUUGUAUUUAGCUUGAAAGGUAGGAUUCCUUUAUUAUUUUACUGUGUUAAACAUAUUCACGGAAAAUUUAAAACUUAUUUAAAACUCUGAAACAUUCACUUCAAACAAAUAUCCAUCCCGACUUUUGGGAAAAACCUUGCUAUAGAUUUCCCAAUUUGUACGAUACUAUUUCUUUUGAUAUGUUAUGUUUUCAUUGUGCUGUAUGGUGUUCUGACCGCUGUAUUGUGUUUUCGAAACAUGUAAAGUAACAAGUGUUUAUAUUAAAACUUUAUUUCGAAAGAUAUAGUUUUACAUUUCAUUUUACCAAAUUCCUAAGCCACUUCCUAAAGAAAGUAAUGCUAAACAGAGACUUUUUUUAAUGGUAAGUCUGGUGAAAGAGUCAUUCCGUCAUUGUGUUUAUAUUCCAUGCAGAAAUCGAGAAAAACAACUUUGUAAUAAAGCCAUUUUGUAUGACUUUAUUAUAAGUUACACAAGAAGCCAUUUUGAAAGCAUGUGCGUACAAGAAACAGUGCAACACUAUUAGUGAACAGACCGAAAACAGUUUUAUUUCUGAAAUUUAAUUGAACUGAUAUUCGAAUAUUUUGUUUUAUUCAUUAAAAAUUUAUACUAAAAAAAUUAUUCGCCUCAGGCUCAGUGAUUACGGUGAAUAUUCACCUCGACUUCGUCUCGGUGAAUAUUCAUCGGUAAUAUAUCACUUCGUCUUCGGCGAAUAAUUGUUAAAUAUUCGCCGAAACAAAGUCGAGGUGAAUAUUCCCCGAUAAUCACCAAGCCUGACGCGAAUAAUUGUUUUAGUUUUAUUCCCUUUGCUUUGUAACUUUCACAAAAUGGCUUGGCCGCCAUUUUGAAAACUUCGGUUUUGUUAUAUUCACCUGUAGGCAGGGACGUCGGAACUGGGGAGGGGGAGGGGCAGCCGCUCCCGUUGAACUUUACUAGAAGGGGCAAGGGGGCGCAAAGGUGCCCUUUUAAUUUAAAGGAUUGCCUUGGCGAAAUAGCAAAUUGUCAGAAAUGUUAGUGCAAUUUUUUUAUGAAUUUGCUUCAGAAAACGCAAGAAAUGCAGUCAUUGAGCUUCAAGAAUAGCACAAUCGCCUUGCGGAGACCCCCCUCACACUCCUACCAUCCAAUUAUAAAUCGAAACAUGAUUAGGAAAAGUUCAACUCCGGAUGUUUUGCAAACAUCUUUUAGUAUAUAUCAAUUCACGAAAAUCUGCCUCCCUUGCCUUAACAUCGUUCCGGCAUUCCUGCCUGUAGGUGAAUAUACUAAGCUGUUAUAUUCACCUACAGCCGUACAGGUGAAUAUAACAAAACCAAAAUUUUCAAAAUGGCGGCUAGCCGUUUUGUGGACGUUACACUGAUAAAGAAUCAAGCGAAAUUAAAAUAAAUUCAGUCCCAAAAACACAAAAAUACUAAACUACAUUUAUUCGCAUCGGGCUCGCUGAUUAUCGAGGAAUAUUCACCUCGACUUCGUCUCGGCGAAUAUUUUCCGAUAAUCACCUCGCCUUCGGCGAAUAAUUGCUAAUUAAUACUUGAAGUUUGAGCAAUCAACUUGUAGGAUUUGUUAUGUUCACUUGCCAAAAAUACAAACAAGAAUUAUCAAGGUCUUGGUUUGUGUUAUCUGCCCUCAGCCUGCGGCUCCAGCCUCAACACCGGCCUUGGUAAUUCUUGAUAUCACUGGCCAACCCUAUCCAAUAAUUAUUAAUUAUUAUAUAUUCAAAGACUAUUCUCGUUUGUGAUGGUUAAAACGCGUCGGGCAGUUCAGUUGCGUAUCUUGAAGCCGUCGCAUUGUUUCAGCAGCAGACGCCAUCAGGGUGCGAUAAUACUUUCAGCUUGCAAUAAUACUUUUUUGGACGAAGUUCCGCCUCAAAAAAGUAUUAUUGCACGGUGUGGUUACCAAGCUCCGGCGCGGUCCAUUGUUUGCUAAAAAGCGCGGAAAUUUCAUAUUUUUAAAAGCGUAAACAAAAAAUGGCUUUGCGUUUUUUAGCUUUUGAAUAUAUAAUAAAACAAUUAUUGAAUUCUGUUUUCGUAUGAUAUCGUGAAUUAUCAAGGCCUUGGUUUGUGUUAUCCACCUCAGCCUUUGCUUUCUUUGGAUAACUCAAAUUUCGGCCUUGAUAAUUUUCGAUAUCAUACUCAACCUCAUUUAUUAAUUGUUUAUUAUGUUUUGUUCUGGGUUUUUUUUUAUAAAGCAUACAUGAACCGUUAUGCAACAUUUAAAGUUCUUGGGCGCAAUGCAACUUGUCAAGAUUAUGCAAGGAUCCACAACGGGGGACCAAAUGGUUACAAAAUAUCUUCAACGGUUCGUUAUUGGAGAAAAAUUCAAAAACGCGGCUGCAAUAAUUUUAGUUAGCUGGAUAUUACGCAUUUUCCGUGUUGCGUGCAUGGGAACUAACUUAUAAUAUAUGCCGAUUGUAGUUUUUGAAAUACAAGUGUUAAUUAAUUAGUGCAG